Non-coding RNA from Oncorhynchus masou masou (cherry salmon), 83 nucleotides. NCBI's taxonomy places the organism in Eukaryota, Metazoa, Chordata, Actinopteri, Salmoniformes, Salmonidae. The record is from the annotation of a RefSeq genome assembly.
GGUCCUGUGUGGCUCAGUCGGUAGAGCAUGGCGCUUGCAACGCCAAGCGCCAUGCGUCGUGGGUUCGAUUCCCACUGGGGCCA